UACGGGGGGGGCAAGCGUUGUUCGGAAUUACUGGGCGUAAAGGGUCUGUAGGUGGCUUGCUAAGUCAGACGUGAAAUCCCUCAGCUUAACUGGGGAACUGCGUCUGAGACUGGCGAGCUUGAGGGCAGGAGAGGAACGCGGAAUUCCAGGUGUAGCGGUGAAAUGCGUAGAUAUCUGGAGGAACACCGGUGGCGAAGGCGGCGUUCUGGACUGCAUCUGACGCUGAGACGCGAAAGCGUGGGGAGCGAACAGG
RNAcentral lists this ribosomal RNA (253 nucleotides) under uncultured bacterium. RNAcentral's name for it is "partial 16S ribosomal RNA". It matches the Rfam family "Bacterial small subunit ribosomal RNA", at positions 524 to 776 of the family's 1533-position model. The record is from RNAcentral.